Molecule: ribosomal RNA, 402 nt
Filed under: Spumella elongata
Lineage: Eukaryota; Chrysophyceae; Chromulinales; Chromulinaceae
Description: partial Bacterial large subunit ribosomal RNA
Rfam family: Bacterial large subunit ribosomal RNA
Source: RNAcentral
AUUCCUGCACCCCGCGUAAGUGCGAUGGAGGGACGGAGAAGGUUAGGUGUACCAGGCGUUGGUUGUCCUGGGGAAAGGCGGUAGGUUUGGAUCUUUGGCAAAUCCGGGAUCCUUUAAGACCGAGCACCGAGACGAGCCUUUAUGGCGAAGUCACUGAUACCACGCUUCCAGGAAAAGCUCCUAAGCUUCAGCUUACGCAGACCGUACCGUAAACCGACACAGGUGGGUAGGAUGAGAAUUCUCAGGCGCUUGAGAGAACUCGGGUGAAGGAACUAGGCAACAUGGCACCGUAACUUCGGGAGAAGGUGCACCCUUUUUGGUGGCUCGUGCGAGCUAUAGCUGAAGAGGGUCGCAGUAACCAGGCCGCUGCGACUGUUUAUCAAAAACACAGCACUCUGCAAA